Pseudoxanthomonas spadix BD-a59 is the source of this 103-nucleotide regulatory RNA element. It matches the Rfam family "radC RNA". The record is from Rfam. NCBI's taxonomy places the organism in Bacteria, Pseudomonadati, Pseudomonadota, Gammaproteobacteria, Lysobacterales, Lysobacteraceae.
GGACGCCCGAACUGUCCACCAUCCCCGAUGGCGACAUGCCCAGGUAGCCGAGGUCUUCGAGGCUACGGCGCCGCGUUGCCGCGCGCCGGCCUGCCCGGUAAAU